This 639-nucleotide ribosomal RNA is filed under the name Salmonella enterica. Its description in RNAcentral is "partial 23S ribosomal RNA". It matches the Rfam family "Bacterial large subunit ribosomal RNA", at positions 680 to 1315 of the family's 2925-position model. RNAcentral also lists the same sequence under 1 other name. The record is from RNAcentral. Lineage: Bacteria; Pseudomonadati; Pseudomonadota; Gammaproteobacteria; Enterobacterales; Enterobacteriaceae.
AGUCUUAACUGGGCGUUAAGUUGCAGGGUAUAGACCCGAAACCCGGUGAUCUAGCCAUGGGCAGGUUGAAGGUUGGGUAACACUAACUGGAGGACCGAACCGACUAAUGUUGAAAAAUUAGCGGAUGACUUGUGGCUGGGGGUGAAAGGCCAAUCAAACCGGGAGAUAGCUGGUUCUCCCCGAAAGCUAUUUAGGUAGCGCCUCGUGAACUCAUCUUCGGGGGUAGAGCACUGUUUCGGCUAGGGGGUCAUCCCGACUUACCAACCCGAUGCAAACUGCGAAUACCGAAGAAUGUUAUCACGGGAGACACACGGCGGGUGCUAACGUCCGUCGUGAAGAGGGAAACAACCCAGACCGCCAGCUAAGGUCCCAAAGUCACAGUUAAGUGGGAAACGAUGUGGGAAGGCUCAGACAGCCAGGAUGUUGGCUUAGAAGCAGCCAUCAUUUAAAGAAAGCGUAAUAGCUCACUGGUCGAGUCGGCCUGCGCGGAAGAUGUAACGGGGCUAAACUGUGCACCGAAGCUGCGGCAGCGACGCUUAUGCGUUGUUGGGUAGGGGAGCGUUCUGUAAGCCUGCGAAGGUGUCCUGUGAGGGAUGCUGGAGGUAUCAGAAGUGCGAAUGCUGACAUAAGUAACGAUAA